UACAUAGGUGGCAAGCGUUGUUCGGAAUUACUGGGCGUAAAGGGCGCGUAGGCGGCCAUCUAAGUCAGACGUGAAAUCCCCCGGCUUAACCUGGGAACUGCGUCUGAUACUGGAAGGCUCGAGUUUGGGAGAGGGAUGUGGAAUUCCAGGUGUAGCGGUGAAAUGCGUAGAUAUCUGGAGGAACACCGGUGGCGAAGGCGGCAUCCUGGACCAACACUGACGCUGAGGCGCGAAAGCUAGGGGAGCAAACGGG
Molecule: ribosomal RNA, 253 nt
Filed under: uncultured bacterium
Lineage: Bacteria
Description: partial 16S ribosomal RNA
Rfam family: Bacterial small subunit ribosomal RNA
Source: RNAcentral